UUGCUAUCUGCGAUAUGGAAGAUUCGAACCUGCCGCAGGUUCGGAUCUCACGUAGUGAGACAACGGAGCCGCUUGCGGCGACGGCCCGAAGGGCGAGCAAAGCGAGUCAUCCUGCACGACCCACCA
Molecule: small RNA, 126 nt
Filed under: Salmonella enterica
Lineage: Bacteria; Pseudomonadati; Pseudomonadota; Gammaproteobacteria; Enterobacterales; Enterobacteriaceae
Also listed under: 1 other name
Description: RtT sRNA
Rfam family: RtT RNA
About the family: This family represents a bacterial cis-regulatory element known as RtT RNA. The exact function of RtT is unknown although it is thought that it may be involved in changing the cellular response in relation to amino acid starvation.
Source: RNAcentral